Molecule: ribosomal RNA, 504 nt
Filed under: uncultured bacterium
Lineage: Bacteria
Description: bacterial SSU rRNA
Rfam family: Bacterial small subunit ribosomal RNA
Source: RNAcentral
GAUCAUGGCUCAGGAUGAACGCUAGCUACAGGCUUAACACAUGCAAGUCGCGGGGCAGCAUUCCUUAGCUGCUAAGGAAGAUGGCGACCGGCGCACGGGUGAGUAACGCGUAUCCAACUUCCCAUGUCCACGGGAUAGCCCGUCGAAAAGGCGGAUUAAUACCGUAUGAGGUCACAUGCGGGCAUCUAAGUGUGACGAAAGGUUUUGUCGGACAUGGAUGGGGGAUGCGUCCGAUUAGCUGGUUGGCGGGGUAACGGCCCACCAAGGCGACGAUCGGUAGGGGGUUCUGAGAGGAAGGUCCCCCACAUUGGAACUGAGACACGGUCCAAACUCCUACGGGAGGCAGCAGUGAGGAAUAUUGGUCAAUGGACGUAAGUCUGAACCAGCCAAGUAGCGUGCAGGAUGACGGCCCUAUGGGUUGUAAACUGCUUUUAUGCGGGGAUAAAGUGUGGGACGUGUCCCAUAUUGUAGGUACCGCAUGAAUAAGGACCGGCUAAUUCCGUG